This 253-nucleotide ribosomal RNA is filed under the name uncultured bacterium. Its description in RNAcentral is "partial 16S ribosomal RNA". It matches the Rfam family "Bacterial small subunit ribosomal RNA", at positions 524 to 776 of the family's 1533-position model. The record is from RNAcentral.
UACAGAGGGGGCAAGCGUUGUUCGGAAUUACUGGGCGUAAAGGGCGCGUAGGUGGCCUUCUAAGUCGAACGUGAAAUCCCUGGGCUCAACCCAGGAACUGCGUCCGAGACCGGGAGGCUUGAAUCCGGGAGAGGGAUGCGGAAUUCCAGGUGUAGCGGUGAAAUGCGUAGAUAUCUGGAGGAACACCGGUGGCGAAGGCGGCAUCCUGGACCGGGAUUGACACUGAGGCGCGAAAGCCAGGGGAGCAAACGGG